ACUCCCCAGCCGCCCCUCUGAAGUGUUCCGGUGUCACCGUGGCCACAAGGAGGCAGGGGACGGGGGCUUCCUGAAGGAGGCCCCCUAAGGGGAAGGGGGCUACAAGGCUGGCCAGAGUGCUGGCCGCGCGGCUGUGCACAGGGCCUUGAGCCCCUCCGGUCGUCAAGCCUUGCUUGAAAUGCGUAAAUGCGGAAAGGGUCGUGCAACCAACAGCACCCUCCACCUGCAGAAAUCGUCACCUGGCAAAACGGAAACUCUACCCACUAUGCACUAACUCCUCUUUCCCUCUCCUCCGGGCCCUGGCAACCGCCAUUCUACCUUUCGUCUCUGUGGUCUUGACUAUUCUAUGUACUGCAAAUAAAUAGAGUCACACAG
This 375-nucleotide long non-coding RNA is filed under the name Homo sapiens (human). RNAcentral describes it as "non-protein coding LINC00677:7". The record is from RNAcentral. Lineage: Eukaryota; Metazoa; Chordata; Mammalia; Primates; Hominidae.